GACGAACGCUGGCGGCGUGCUUAACACAUGCAAGUCGAACGGAAAGGCCCUGCUUUUGUGGGGUGCUCGAGUGGCGAACGGGUGAGUAACACGUGAGUAACCUGCCCUUGACUUUGGGAUAACUUCAGGAAACUGGGGCUCAUACCGGAUAGGAUCUCCUGCUGCAUGGUGGGGGUUGGAAAGUUUCGGCGGUUGGGGAUGGACUCGCGGCUUAUCAGCUUGUUGGUGGGGUAGUGGCUUACCAAGGCUUUGACGGGUAGCCGGCCUGAGAGGGUGAACGGCCACAUUGGGACUGAGAUACGGCCCAGACGCCUACGGGAGGCAGAAGUGGGGAAUAUUGCACAAUGGGCGGAAGUCUGAUGCAGCAACGCCGCGUGCGGGAUGACGGCCUUCGGGUGGUAAACCGCUUUCGCCGGUGACGAAGCGUGAGUGACGGUAAUGGGUAAAGAAGCACCGGCUAACUACGUG
RNAcentral lists this ribosomal RNA (468 nucleotides) under uncultured bacterium. RNAcentral's name for it is "partial 16S ribosomal RNA". It matches the Rfam family "Bacterial small subunit ribosomal RNA", at positions 28 to 507 of the family's 1533-position model. The record is from RNAcentral.